This 1248-nucleotide ribosomal RNA is filed under the name metagenome. RNAcentral's name for it is "bacterial LSU rRNA". It matches the Rfam family "Bacterial large subunit ribosomal RNA", at positions 1634 to 2874 of the family's 2925-position model. The record is from RNAcentral.
AUAUACGACCGUACCGCAAACCGACACUGGUGCGCGAGAUGAGUAUUCUAAGGCGCUUGAGAGAACUCAGGAGAAGGAACUCGGCAAAUUGACACCGUAACUUCGGAAGAAGGUGUGCCCUAUUAGUGUGUAGUGAACAACGAAGCAUGAAUGGGUUGCAAAAAAUCGGUGGCUGCGACUGUUUAUUAAAAACACAGCACUCUGCAAACACGAAAGUGGACGUAUAGGGUGUGACGCCUGCCCGGUGCUGGAAGAUUAAAUGAUGGGGUGCAAGCUCUUGAUUGAAGUCCCAGUAAACGGCGGCCGUAACAAUAACGGUCCUAAGGUAGCGAAAUUCCUUGUCGGGUAAGUUCCGACCUGCACGAAUGGCGUAACGAUGGCCACACUGUCUCCUCCUGAGACUCAGCGAAGUUGAAAUGUUUGUGAUGAUGCAAUCUCCCCGCGGAAAGACGGAAAGACCCCAUGAACCUUUACUGUAGCUUUGUAUUGGACUUUGAACAGAUCUGUGUAGGAUAGGCGGGAGGCUUUGAAGCAGGGUCGCUAGAUCUUGUGGAGCCAACGUUGAAAUACCACCCUGGUGUGUUUGAGGUUCUAACCUAUGUCCAUUAUCUGGAUCGGGGACAGUGCAUGGUAGGCAGUUUGACUGGGGCGGUCUCCUCCCAAAGCGUAACGGAGGAGUUCGAAGGUACGCUAGUUACGGUCGGACAUCGUGACGAUAGUGCAAUGGCAUAAGCGUGCUUAACUGCGAGACUGACAAGUCGAGCAGAUGCGAAAGCAGGACAUAGUGAUCCGGUGGUUCUGUAUGGAAGGGCCAUCGCUCAACGGAUAAAAGGUACUCUGGGGAUAACAGGCUGAUACCGCCCAAGAGUUCAUAUCGACGGCGGUGUUUGGCACCUCGAUGUCGGCUCAUCUCAUCCUGGGGCUGUAGCCGGUCCCAAGGGUAUGGCUGUUCGCCAUUUAAAGAGGUACGUGAGCUGGGUUUAAAACGUCGUGAGACAGUUUGGUCCCUAUCUUCCGUGGGCGCUGCAGAUUUGAGGAAGCCUGCUCCUAGUACGAGAGGACCGGAGUGGACACACCUCUGGUGUAUCGGUUGUCACGCCAGUGGCAUUGCCGAGUAGCUAAGUGUGGAAGAGAUAACCGCUGAAAGCAUCUAAGCGGGAAACUCGUUUCAAGAUGAGAUCUGCCGGGGCCUUGAGCCCCCUAAAGAGUCGUUCAAGACCAGGACGUUGAUAGGUCAGGUGUGGAAGC